Molecule: transfer RNA, 75 nt
Filed under: Lentibacillus halodurans
Lineage: Bacteria; Bacillati; Bacillota; Bacilli; Caryophanales; Bacillaceae
Description: tRNA_Thr_CGT
Rfam family: tRNA
About the family: Transfer RNA (tRNA) molecules are approximately 80 nucleotides in length. Their secondary structure includes four short double-helical elements and three loops (D, anti-codon, and T loops).
Source: RNAcentral
GCUGGUGUGGCGCAAUGGCAGCGCGGCUCACUCGUAAUGAGUAGGUUGGAGGUUCGAAUCCUCUCACCAGCACCA